GACUCUGACGUUGCCAGUCCAGACGUUAUGAUGUUAUAAUAUGAUGACAUAUGACAUGAUGACGUUGCAGCUCUCCUAGAUGUGGCUGAACAUGUUUACCAAUGUAGCAGUAGUAUGUCCCAAUUGUGCCAAAUGUCCAAUGAUAUUAUGAAUUUGGCAUCAUGAGAAGACCAUCAAGUAAGUGGCUACCGGAAGACAUAUUAUGUGUGUUUGUUUGACAGCCUCCGUUACCAUUCCAAGAUUACCUUGUCCACAGACAGUUAUCCUCUGAUUAAAUUACAUGACUGACAUAUAACAUAAAUGUGUAUCUUUUUAUAUCUGUGAUUAUCAAAACUUAAAUUAAAUCAGAAUUAGUGAAUAUAAAAAUAGCUUUUAAAUAGUUUUCAGUAGCAUGAUGGGUUUUCAUUUAUGAAAAAUACUGUAUAUGUUUGGACUUUAUUUUUAUUGAGGUGUAUCAAUCAAUUACUUGUUUCAAAAGCAAUUGUGUGUAAACAGAUAUUUGGAUACAGCUUUUUAAAAUUUUAAAGAUUUUAGCAGUUGCAUUUAGGAAUCAUUUCCUAUUAUUUAGACACUAAAUAACUGAUAUGCACUAUUUAGGAAUUACUAUUUUCCAUAUUUUGCACCCUCGGUGUGAUAGACUUUUAUUUGAUUUGCAAUGUAACUUGAUGAAAUGAAACUAAAAAACCAAGAUCUAAAUGACUUUGUAUUUUGAACUUUAUUGCAUCAUUUAUUUUUACCCACGUAAAAAAUUUAUUUCAAGUUGUUCAAUAUGUAUCAAUAACAGGCACAGAUGCUGGUUAGUGCUGAUAUUAACUUGAUUUUCAAAAGUUGCAUAAAAAAGUUAAUCUUAAUAAAAUAAUAUUGAUUGUCGCGUUCA
Lingula anatina is the source of this 877-nucleotide long non-coding RNA. NCBI's taxonomy places the organism in Eukaryota, Metazoa, Brachiopoda, Lingulata, Lingulida, Lingulidae. The record is from RefSeq and is a predicted model, not a curated record.